This 194-nucleotide ribosomal RNA is filed under the name uncultured bacterium. RNAcentral's name for it is "partial 16S ribosomal RNA". It matches the Rfam family "Bacterial small subunit ribosomal RNA", at positions 340 to 526 of the family's 1533-position model. The record is from RNAcentral.
UACGGGAGGCAGCAGUGGGGAAUAUUGCACAAUGGGCGAAAGCCUGAUGCAGCCAUGCCGCGUGUGUGAAGAAGGCUCUAGGGUUGUAAAGCACUUUCAGUGGGGAGGAAAAGUUCAAAACUAAUACUUUUGAACCUUGACGUUACCUGCAGAAGAAGCACCGGCAAACUCCGUGCCAGCAGCCGCGGUAAUAC